Zingiber officinale is the source of this 1836-nucleotide RNA transcript. It is a transcript of the gene named thylakoidal processing peptidase 1, chloroplastic-like, with no coding region annotated. The record is from RefSeq and is a predicted model, not a curated record. The transcript is spliced from 7 exons. NCBI's taxonomy places the organism in Eukaryota, Viridiplantae, Streptophyta, Magnoliopsida, Zingiberales, Zingiberaceae.
UUAAAAACAUCUCCCUUUUCCUCUCCCACUUCUUUCAGCUAGCUGCCUUCCUCGUCUCUUCUCGUCGUCUUCCGGGCCACAGCAUCGCCGAGCUCCUUCUCCUCAGUACGAAACCCUAGCUUUCCGAUCUUUUCGGCGUCCGGCGAUUCAAUCCGAUUCCCCCUGUCCCAUCCCGGCUUGGAUUCCUCCAACGCCGGAAUGGGAUCCGCCUUCUGAUCCGCAGUCUCCCCUCCUUCUCGCGUUCAAUCUCCGCCCCAGUGUAUCCCAUCCUUCGCUGGUUCUCCCAGAUUGCGAAUAUGGCGAUUCGUGUCACCAUCUUGUUCUCCGUCUUCCUCGCCCAAAUGCUAGCCACCGCCGCGGCGGGGGUCCGCUGCGGUGGAACUGCUCGGCUUUUCCACGACAGCGGGCGCCCCAUCGCUCUCUUCGCACGGCCUCUUUCUGGGCCUGCCCCCCCUCCGCGGAUUCUCGAACGCCGAUGCGUCGCUCGUCAGGAUUCGCCUCGGGAUUUCUUAUCCGAAGCAACUCAGGCUAAGGACUGGGGAACUUCUUUCGCUGCUGGCCUGUUCUCUGUGAUCAUGCCCGGAUCCUGGUCAGCGAGUGGUAGUGCGAUGAGCAUCUCUUCGAUGUCGGCGAGGGGAUUCAAGCCGUCGUCUUUGAUCCCUCUUUUCCAGACGUCCAGGUGGUUCCCGUGCAAUGAGUUCCUUGCCGGAUCGAGACGAUUCGACCCAGUGGAUGAGCGAGGGACUGAUUCUUCAGAUCCUCCUUGGAAAGAAAAGAAAAUAACUUCUUCUGGCAAACCGCCGGGAGACUCCAAGCACUGUUGUGGCUCCGGUCCCAGGGUGACUUUGAUGAAAGAGUUGGAAGAAACAUAUGAAAUGAGCUCCAGCGAGAAAAGGAGCUGGAUCUCGCGAUUCCUGAGUUCUUGUUCAGAUGAUGCCAAGACAUUGUUUGCGGCAGUGUCUGUUCCGCUGUUAUAUGGAUCAUUCUUGGCAGAGACAAAAUUUAUCCCUUCCAAGUCGAUGCUUCCAACAUUUGAAAUUGGAGAUCGAAUUUUGGCUGAGAAGGUCUCGUAUCUGUUUAGUGAACCUGAAGUCACAGAUAUCAUCGUCUUCAGAGCUCCUGCUAUCCUUAAGGAAUAUGGGUUUGCAUCAAAUGAUGCCUUUAUUAAAAGAGUUGUGGCCGUAGCUGGGGAUGUUGUUGAAGUUCACGGUGGCAAAUUGUUGGUGAAUGGGGUGAUCCAGGAUGAGGAAUUUAUUCUUGAGCCACUUGACUAUGAAAUGAAGCCAGUGUUUGUGCCUAAAGGUUGCGUCUUUGUGCUAGGGGAUAAUCGUAACCACAGCUUUGACUCUCAUAACUGGGGGCCUCUUCCUGUAAAGAACAUUCUUGGAAGGUCAGUGCUCCGCUACUGGCCUCCAUCAAGAAUUUCUGACACUAUCUAUGAACCGAGUGUGAUGACAAAUACGAUGGGGGUUUCUUGAUGCGCUUUUCUUUCACAAGAACCACAUAGUAACUGAAGAGGUGGCUUUUUGCAAGAGACUCAUAAUGGUUCCCUGGCAUCUAAUUCAUCAACAUUAAGACCAGGGGUCAUUUAUUCCGUCUCUAGCACUUUCAAUUUGAGGAAAUCAGAUGAAGAUUUCAGUCCACUGAUGAAUAGUGUGAACAUCCCUACUUAGUUGCAGGAUUUAGUCAUGGUCAUUCAUAAUAAAUAUAGGGUGAUUCUGCGCGAAGACCCUUUGCAAUACUUUCCUUGCCAUAGCAUGGAGAGGAUUUGUAUGCAAGAUGCAAUUGUUUCAACUGUCGCAAUUGAAUUUUAUUUCAGUGGAUGAUUAUUUGUAA